This 408-nucleotide non-coding RNA is filed under the name Parcubacteria group bacterium GW2011_GWA1_43_27. The record is from RNAcentral.
UUUGGCACCUUAACAUAUCGGGGUGCAUGAACAGUGAUGUUUUUCCCAAUCUUUUCGUUUAAUUAAAUAAUUUAGACAGGAAUCAAGAUCAAUAAUCGGCUUAUAACGGUGAACCCGUCAGUCCGCCCAGGGCGGACCCGGCAACACCGUGGGAAGUUCAACCUUCGCUCGCUUUUGGCGAGCUUCGGCUGACAGGCGUCUAUAAAGUUAGAUUGCUUGUACACCGUAGCUUUAGCGGAGGAGUAACCCCGUAACGACUGACCCGAAAGGGAAGAGCCCGCCAACGGCGGGCUAACACGCCGACUCUUGCAGUGAAAUCUGAGGUUAUGCGGUUCACGUUCGCCUAGGCGAAUCCGCUACGAUCCAGGGCAAGAAGAAGAUAUAGUCUGCGCCACAUGAAAGUGUGGA